RNAcentral lists this ribosomal RNA (816 nucleotides) under uncultured bacterium. RNAcentral's name for it is "bacterial SSU rRNA". It matches the Rfam family "Bacterial small subunit ribosomal RNA", at positions 163 to 1001 of the family's 1533-position model. The record is from RNAcentral.
CUAAUGCCGGAUACGUCCGAGGUUUUAAUCGACCUUGGAGAAAGAUUUAUCGCCGGAGGAUUGGCCCGCGUCUGAUUAGCUUGUUGGUGAGGUAAUGGCUCACCAAGGCGACGAUCAGUAGCUGGUCUGAGAGGAUGAUCAGCCACAUUGGGACUGAGACACGGCCCAAACUCCUACGGGAGGCAGCAGUGGGGAAUAUUGGACAAUGGGCGAAAGCCUGAUCCAGCCAUGCCGCGUGAGUGAUGAAGGCCUUAGGGUUGUAAAGCUCUUUUACCCGGGAAGAUAGUGACGGUACCGGGAGAAUAAGCCCCGGCUAACUUCGUGCCAGCAGCCGCGGUAAUACGAAGGGGGCUAGCGUUGUUCGGAAUUACUGGGCGUAAAGCGCACGUAGGCGGAUCUUUAAGUCAGGGGUGAAAUCCCGAGGCUCAACCUCGGAACUGCCUUUGAUACUGGGGAUAUCGAGUCCGGGAGAGGUGAGUGGAACUGCGAGUGUAGAGGUGAAAUUCGUAGAUAUUCGCAAGAACACCAGUGGCGAAGGCGGCUCACUGGCCCGGUACUGACGCUGAGGUGCGAAAGCGUGGGGAGCGAACAGGAUUAGAUACCCUGGUAGUCCACGCCGUAAACGAUGGAUGCUAGCCGUUAGACAGCUUGCUGUUUAGUGGCGCAGUUAACGCGUUAAGCAUCCCGCCUGGGGAGUACGGUCGCAAGAUUAAACUCAAAGGAAUUGACGGGGGCCCGCACAAGCGGUGGAGCAUGUGGUUUAAUUCGAAGCAACGCGAAGAACCUUACCAGCUCUUGACAUGUCUCGUAUGGGGA